GGUAAUAAUUUUGAAAAUGCUAAGGAUGAAAGUCUAUGCGUUUCAAC
Molecule: unclassified non-coding RNA, 47 nt
Filed under: Saccharomyces cerevisiae S288C
Lineage: Eukaryota; Fungi; Ascomycota; Saccharomycetes; Saccharomycetales; Saccharomycetaceae
Description: RNA (47-MER) from Saccharomyces cerevisiae S288C (PDB 6WPI, chain B)
Source: RNAcentral